AACGAACGCUGGCGGCAGGCCUAACACAUGCAAGUCGAACGCACCUUUCGGGGUGAGUGGCAGACGGGUGAGUAACACGUGGGAACGUGCCCUUCAGUUCGGGAUAACCCAGGGAAACUUGGGCUAAUACCGGAUACGCCCUUUUGGGGAAAGAUUGAUCGCUGAAGGAUCGGCCCGCGUCUGAUUAGCUGGUUGGUGGGGUAAUGGCUCACCAAGGCGACGAUCAGUAGCUGGUCUGAGAGGAUGAUCAGCCACACUGGGACUGAGACACGGCCCAGACUCCUACGGGAGGCAGCAGUGGGGAAUAUUGGACAAUGGGCGCAAGCCUGAUCCAGCCAUGCCGCGUGAGUGAUGAAGGCCCUAGGGUUGUAAAGCUCUUUCGCACGCGACGAUAAUGACGGUAGCGUGAGAAGAAGCCCCGGCUAACUUCGUGCCAGCCGCCGCCGUAAAAC
RNAcentral lists this ribosomal RNA (452 nucleotides) under uncultured bacterium. Its description in RNAcentral is "bacterial SSU rRNA". It matches the Rfam family "Bacterial small subunit ribosomal RNA", at positions 29 to 526 of the family's 1533-position model. The record is from RNAcentral.